GACGAAGGUGGCGAGCGUUGUUCGGAAUCACUGGGCAUAAAGCGCACGUAGGCGGCGACGUAAGUUGGGUGUGAAAUCCCUCGGCCCAACCGAGGAACUGCGCCCAGUACUGCGUUGCUUGAGGAUCCAAGGGGUGCAUGGAAUUCCCGGUGGAGCGGUGAAAUGCGUUGAUAUCGGGAGGAACUCCGGCGGCGAAAGCGGUGCACUGGUGGAUUACUGACGCUGAGGUGCGAAAGCCAGGGGAGCAAACGGG
RNAcentral lists this ribosomal RNA (253 nucleotides) under uncultured bacterium. RNAcentral's name for it is "partial 16S ribosomal RNA". It matches the Rfam family "Bacterial small subunit ribosomal RNA", at positions 524 to 776 of the family's 1533-position model. The record is from RNAcentral.